RNAcentral lists this small RNA (128 nucleotides) under unclassified sequences. Its description in RNAcentral is "LOOT RNA". It matches the Rfam family "LOOT RNA". From Rfam's summary of the family: Latescibacteria, OD1/Parcubacteria, OP11, TM7. Lineage (Microgenomates, aka OP11) The record is from Rfam by way of RNAcentral.
GGCCUAAGUCUUACAAAAUUGUAAGAUAUGGUAUAAAAACCUAACCAAUAAAGGUGGUCUUCUGAUCACAGCAACUUAUUGGUUAGGUCUAUGCCCGAAAGGGUAUAGGAUAGUUUGAAAGAACUGUC